CAAUAGCGUAUAUUAAAGUUGUUGCAGUUAAAAAGCUCGUAGUUGGAUUUCUGGUAGGAGUGACCGUUCCGAACUUGAUUGUUCGUGUAUUGUGUUUUCUCCAGCCAUCCUUGUGGAGAACUUUUCUUGCAUUAAUUUGUAGGGAUUGGGACCCGCAUCGUUUACUGUGAAAAAAUUAGAGUGUUUAAAGCAGGCAAUCGCUUGAAUACAUUAGCAUGGAAUAAUAAGAUAGGACUUUGGUACUAUUUUGUUGGUUUGCAUACCAAAUUAAUGAUCAACAGGAACAGUUUGAGGAUAUUCGUAUGAACAUGUCAGAGGUGAAAUUCUUGGAUUUUGAUCAGACGAACUACUGCGAAGGCAUUUAUCAAGGAUGUUUUCAUUAA
Molecule: ribosomal RNA, 383 nt
Filed under: uncultured eukaryote
Lineage: Eukaryota
Description: partial 18S ribosomal RNA
Rfam family: Eukaryotic small subunit ribosomal RNA
Source: RNAcentral